RNAcentral lists this ribosomal RNA (253 nucleotides) under uncultured bacterium. RNAcentral's name for it is "partial 16S ribosomal RNA". It matches the Rfam family "Bacterial small subunit ribosomal RNA", at positions 524 to 776 of the family's 1533-position model. The record is from RNAcentral.
UACGGAGGGUGCGAGCGUUGUUCGGAAUCACUGGGCGUAAAGCGCGUGUAGGCGGUUUCCUAAGUUUGGUGUGAAAGCCCGGGGCUUACCCCCGGAAGUGCACUGGAUACUGGGAGACUAGAGUACCGGAGAGGAAGGUGGAAUUCCUGGUGUAGCGGUGAAAUGCGUAGAUAUCAGGAGGAACACCGGUGGCGAAGGCGGCCUUCUGGACGGAUACUGACGCUGAGACGCGAAAGCGUGGGGAGCAAACAGG